GAGCAAUGAUGAACCUUUGCUUACUGACUUCAUCAGUGGAGGCUUUUACACUUGAACUGAGCUCA
This 65-nucleotide small nucleolar RNA is filed under the name Sphenodon punctatus (tuatara). RNAcentral describes it as "Small nucleolar RNA U2-30 (ENSSPUG00000015795.1)". The record is from RNAcentral. Lineage: Eukaryota; Metazoa; Chordata; Lepidosauria; Sphenodontia; Sphenodontidae.